GUCCUUGUUUAAGAGGAUCUCGAAGCCAUCUUCUGUGCUCCACACCAGCCGUAGUUUCUCCUCGGGCCUCCAGCACUCUCUGUCCUCCAGCGAGAGCCUCCCUGGAUCACCCACUCACAGCCUGUCCCCUAGCCCCACCACGCCCUGCCGCAGCCCUGCCCCCGACGUCCCCACAGGUGGGUGGGUUCUCAGUCUGGGCCACAGGUUAGAGGACAGAGGAAACUGCUGCCGGGUAGUCAGUGCCCUUCAUCCCGGCACUUAAGAGAUGAGGCAGAAAAACAAGGGUUCAUGGAACUCCACCUCGAAUAUGAAUAUAUAUGCAUAUCUGUGACAAUAAUCAGUAAGGAGCCUUAGUGUGUGCUUGAGCUGAGUGG
Molecule: long non-coding RNA, 374 nt
Filed under: Rattus norvegicus (Norway rat)
Lineage: Eukaryota; Metazoa; Chordata; Mammalia; Rodentia; Muridae
Description: long non-coding RNA NONRATT011399
Source: RNAcentral